RNAcentral lists this ribosomal RNA (1331 nucleotides) under metagenome. RNAcentral's name for it is "bacterial SSU rRNA". It matches the Rfam family "Bacterial small subunit ribosomal RNA". The record is from RNAcentral.
AGAGUUUGAUCCUGGCUCAGGAUGAACGCUGGCGGCGUGCUUAACACAUGCAAGUCGAACGAACCUUCGGGUGAGUGGCGGACGGGUGAGUAACGCGUGGGAAUCUGCCCUCAGGAGGGGGAUAACGACUGGAAACGGUCGCUAAUACCCCAUAUGCCGAGAGGUGAAAUGAGUUUCGCCUGAGGAUGAGCCCGCGUCUGAUUAGCUAGUUGGUGUGGUAAGAGCUCACCAAGGCGACGAUCAGUAGCUGGUCUGAGAGGAUGAUCAGCCACACUGGGACUGAGACACGGCCCAGACUCCUACGGGAGGCAGCAGUGGGGAAUUUUCCGCAAUGGGCGAAAGCCUGACGGAGCAACGCCGCGUGAGGGAUGAAGGCCUCUGGGCUGUAAACCUCUUUUCUCAAGGAAGAAGAUCUGACGGUACUUGAGGAAUAAGCCACGGCUAAUUCCGUGCCAGCAGCCGCGGUAAUACGGGAGUGGCAAGCGUUAUCCGGAAUCAUUGGGCGUAAAGCGUCCGCAGGUGGCUUUGUAAGUCUGCUGUUAAAGCGUGGAGCUUAACUCCAUUUCAGCGGUGGAAACUACAAAGCUUGAGUGUGGUAGGGGCAGAGGGAAUUCCCGGUGUAACGGUGAAAUGCGUAGAUAUCGGGAAGAACACCAGUGGCGAAGGCGCUCUGCUGGGCCAUAACUGACACUCAUGGACGAAAGCCAGGGGAGCGAAAGGGAUUAGAUACCCCUGUAGUCCUGGCCGUAAACGAUGAACACUAGGCGUCGGGGGAAUCGACCCCCUCGGUGUCGUAGCCAACGCGUUAAGUGUUCCGCCUGGGGAGUACGCACGCAAGUGUGAAACUCAAAGGAAUUGACGGGGGCCCGCACAAGCGGUGGAGUAUGUGGUUUAAUUCGAUGCAACGCGAAGAACCUUACCAGGGUUUGACAUCCUGCGAACCCCUGAGAAAUCGGGGGGUGCCUUCGGGAACGCAGUGACAGGUGGUGCAUGGCUGUCGUCAGCUCGUGUCGUGAGAUGUUGGGUUAAGUCCCGCAACGAGCGCAACCCACGUCUUUAGUUGCCAGCAUUCAGUUGGGCACUCUAGAGAGACCGCCGGUGAUAAACCGGAGGAAGGUGUGGAUGACGUCAAGUCAUCAUGCCCCUUACAUCCUGGGCUACACACGUACUACAAUGCUACGGACAAGGGGCAGCAAACUCGCGAGAGCAAACAAAUCCCAUAAACCGUGGCUCAGUUCAGAUCGUAGGCUGCAACUCGCCUACGUGAAGGAGGAAUCGCUAGUAAUCGCAGGUCAGCAUACUGCGGUGAAUACGUUCCCGGGCCUUGUACC